RNAcentral lists this ribosomal RNA (465 nucleotides) under uncultured Klebsiella sp. RNAcentral's name for it is "bacterial SSU rRNA". It matches the Rfam family "Bacterial small subunit ribosomal RNA", at positions 338 to 795 of the family's 1533-position model. Lineage: Bacteria; Pseudomonadati; Pseudomonadota; Gammaproteobacteria; Enterobacterales; Enterobacteriaceae. The record is from RNAcentral.
CCUACGGGAGGCAGCAGUGGGGAAUAUUGCACAAUGGGCGCAAGCCUGAUGCAGCCAUGCCGCGUGUGUGAAGAAGGCCUUCGGGUUGUAAAGCACUUUCAGCGGGGAGGAAGGCGGUGAGGUUAAUAACCUCAUCGAUUGACGUUACCCGCAGAAGAAGCACCGGCUAACUCCGUGCCAGCAGCCGCGGUAAUACGGAGGGUGCAAGCGUUAAUCGGAAUUACUGGGCGUAAAGCGCACGCAGGCGGUCUGUCAAGUCGGAUGUGAAAUCCCCGGGCUCAACCUGGGAACUGCAUUCGAAACUGGCAGGCUAGAGUCUUGUAGAGGGGAGUAGAAUUCCAGGUGUAGCGGUGAAAUGCGUAGAGAUCUGGAGGAAUACCGGUGGCGAAGGCGGCCCCCUGGACAAAGACUGACGCUCAGGUGCGAAAGCGUGGGGAGCAAACAGGAUUAGAUACCCGAGUAGUC